Scatophagus argus is the source of this 3348-nucleotide long non-coding RNA. RefSeq lists it as uncharacterized. The transcript is spliced from 2 exons. Lineage: Eukaryota; Metazoa; Chordata; Actinopteri; Scatophagidae. The record is from RefSeq and is a predicted model, not a curated record.
AUUGAAGUUUAGAGGAGGAGCAAAGCUGCGGCCAUCGAUUGCAGUGAAGCCCUUUUUGGAGUCUGGGCACUUUUACGCACAAAACAGAAGCAGGCCAUCUAUCCCCUUUAAUAUUUAGCUCCGUCAGUGCUAAUAUGGCAUCAUGGCUGUAUUGACAGCUUCUCACAUAAAGGCUCCAUUUAUGGCUCCGUGACAUUUUUGAUGGUGGGAAUUAAUUAUUCACAGGUUAGGAUUAAGGAAGACACACGCUCAGGGAGAUGGGCUGUGGCUACUGUUGGAGGGUCAAUAAACUCUCCCAACAAACAAAAUACCCAGCAGAGUUGCUCGGGGUCGGUUACAGAAAUAGCAGGGUAAUUUAUUUAUUUAUUUGUAAUUUUUUUUUUGUUAAGAAAAGGGGGAGAAAGAUUUAAUAAAUGAAACCGUGACAACAGUUAUGUUUGUUGGCAUAAAGGGGGGUGGGAAGUGUAGGACUGCAGGGUUUGACAAACGGCUGUGUGGACAUUUCAACGUGCAAUACCCCGGGAAGGAGCUGCAGAGCGGUGCGCAGAGAGCCAAGGCAUUCACCGUCUCCAAGUCUCUCUCUCUCUCUCUCUCUCCCUCUCUCUCCUACACUCUGUAAACACAACCAGCCCGGCAGACUCUACUAUUGAAGACUGAUAUUUUCAUAAGCUAAAUACUAUCGUUUACAUUGAUUUGUGCACUAACGUUUGACUUUUUUUUUCCCUCCAUCCUCCUCCUCCUCCUCCUCCUCCUUUGGACAAGCCCGACCCACUGGAAAAUAUGCGGCCAUGUAGCGACACCUGGCGGCCACAGCGGAUGCGGAGCUGCCGACAGCAUUGCAACAAAUGAAAGAAGGCCCUCAAAAUAAAAAUAAAGAAUGACUCAAUUUACGCAAAAACGUUCCAAAAAAUGUCAACAAAAUCUUGUUGUUCUGUUUUUAAAAUUAAAUGAAAGGUAUUGCGGUCAAAUGUAUUAAUUUCUCACAGCACAGACUCGUAAAUCUUAACACAUGAAUAUUAUGAAAUGAUGGUUUUGUCUUAGUGAGCUGUCUGAAUCGAGCGCCCCGUGCAUUUGUUUGUGAUAGCGUUUAAUUUAUUCGCUGGCGAUGCUUUGACCAUAAAUCCGGUCGAACUGUUCACACCCUUCACAUCUGAUGCUGCUGCACGACGCUGACACACAAACCAGAGAAACGCGGCCCUUAUUUGUCACACUUUGUCUUUAAUUACGUGUACAAGAAUUAUUUGUGGAUUUAUUUAUGUGAUUUUUCAAUUGGUUUCGAUAGCAAGUCGACCUUCAUGUAAAUCCAAAUCGGUUGGCUUAGUUAGGAGAAGUGUUUAUACACCCAGUUUUAUGUCUAACCCCAAAAUGCACUGACACUUUAGUCCAUAUUUUUAUUUUAAUUUGGACGGAUUUUAAUAUCUGCUUUUAUUCUGUAUUAUGCUGCAUUUUGAAAAACAGUUAAACCUAAACAUUUAAAAGAGAGAAAAAAAUAGAAUCAUAUUGUGAUUUUGAAAACAGUCCGUCGAAAUGAUCUUAUGAUUAUAUUAUUAAUCUUAUUAUCACGCUCUAAUAAAAAGAAACAACGUUGGAAAAUAACGCCUUUAAAAUUCCUCUUCACGUCAUUUCAAUUCUUUUAGGCCUACUGCGCUUUUGACGCGGCAGAAUUUCGAAAGCUGAGAGCGUUUCUCCGACACGUAAAGAAUAAAAUAAAUAGUUCCUUGUCGAGCUGCCAGCUCCCUGCCAUGUGUGCAGCCUGUGUGCAGCCGUGCUCGGCGGUGACACACUUUGAGCAGGUCACCGCCGAGAUUAGAGCCCGUCGUUAACGCCUGUGCGGAUACACCAAAUGCUGAUUUAAUGAGCUUGCAUUGGAUGUUUGUCCCAGAAUACCUGGUGUGCAUGUGUUAGUAACGCCACAGACUAUAAUCCCCGUGUUUCCCCCCUAACACGUGGCUUUAGGGACAGCCUUAUACCUCCAUGUACAAAGGCGCCUGUAGAGAUUUGAGUACGAUUUUUUUUUCUCCACCCAGUUAGAUUGAACAGGUCGAAGCCUAUAAGGCCCGCAUUCAGCCACAUUACCAGAUGUAAUUGAGAGAAGUUUAAGUGGAGGCCGGGAAACCGAGGAGUUAAUAGCGGUGACCCUCUUGCUGUGCCUCUGUCGCUCAUCAUUUAUCAGGCUUAAGGGGCUUAAACAGGCAGCACAGACCCACCUUUUAUUACAUAUCAAACCCCUCUCUCCCCUUAUCUACAUUAUAGGAAAUACAUGCAUCGUUGCCUGUUAUGCGGAUUUGGAAAUAGAAACAUGUCCAAUAAAGUCGCCCUCCUCCGCUGAUCAGAGGAAAUAUGGCUUCAGGCGCCGCAGAGACAAGCCCGCCGGUUUAAGCCUUUAUUAAAUUGUCUUAAUUCCCCUCUCCGCUUUGAAAUGAAUACAAAUUUCCACUCUUGUGUUGUUUGUCCAGUGCGGAAGCGGGAGGAAUGUAAGUGCGGAUGUUUUCACGGUCCCCAAUAUGAUUAGAACGUGAAUAAAAUGGCACCGAGUUAAAAGGACGCUGCAAGCUGCUAAACUUGUCCAGAUCCGGGAGAAAAAACAACCGCAUAGAGUUUUGAAACUCGAGAGCAUCACAGACAUUUAACCAGGCUGUAAAGACAGUAGACAUGAACACCUUAUCCUAAUGCUUAAGAUAACAGGCGAAACUACCUGCACGAACGCAAUCAAUGAAAGCGUGAGGAAAAGAGACCAAACGUCUUUGUGAAAAGUUGAGAUUAUUUUUCUGUCUUCCGUCAUUUUAUUUAUAGCCUUAAUGAAUUACAUGUCGGGGAGACCAGUAAAAAGGCUGAAAACUCUUAACUCUGUGCUCGUUUAACUCAAAACAUUCAUAGCUUAUUUUUUCAGUGCUUAAAUCUAUUUUUAUUUCAUAUUCGGCUACGCGAGGGGUUUAUUUUUUUUGUAUUUAAAGAAAUGCUGGCACAGUGUUUUCAGUUAAAACUUGAGGGCCGAGCCUGAGUUGUCUGCUGGUUUCCUCCAAGGAGAGCUCAGUCAGUGAGCCUGAACGCAGCUGCAUUCACAUGGAGUGACGGGUUUUGAUAUUCUAGUCACACAACAGAGUAAACACUGCUUUCCUAUUCAAUAAACAUCAUUGACAAGGUUCCAUAUCCAGCUAUUUGAAAUACCGAGCUUAACCCCAGUCAACAUCAGCGUCUUUUUAUUUGUAAAUGAAAGUUUAUUUUUCAUUAUCUUGUAGUCUGUACCCUGCACAUACUGUAAUUGUACUUUGUUCUUUGAAAAUUGACUGUACAUUUUGUAAAUUUUCCUGAUGUUUUAAUGUCAUGCCAUUAAAAUAUUUCUAAAUA